ACUUUAACCUUUGUUAUUGUGGUUGUUUUUUAAUUUAAUUAACAGGUAGACCCUCUCUUGCCUUUGCAGAGGCCAAUCACACUCCCGGAUCUCUGCCAAGAAAACCCUAAAGGAUGUCAUAAAAAGUCAGACGCAACCAAACAACAACUUCUUAAGCUACCACUGGCAGAGAACAAAGUCAGAGCACUCUAUCCUUUGGGAUUUUACAAUAUUCAAAUAUGGAACUUUGAAACCACCUUCUAUAAUCACAGCCUCUGGAAGCCAGGAAAGAAAGGCCAGCUACUCACUCACCCAAGACAGACUCCAAAGGAAAAGAUCCAGGAACAGUCCUCCCAGAAGCAGUCCAAGAACUAAAGUCUCAGUCCAAGUCAACUCACCAGGAGAAGAUCCAAGCCAAAGAUCAAAGAACAGUCCCAAAAGCCAACGUCACCUCCAAGAGGCAAGUCAGUAGCCCAAACUCCAAGCUGAAGAUUCAAGCUGAAGACCCCUUGGUCAGGAAGUUCAGGACUUUUUAUGGACCUUUUUCCAUGUCACUUCCUGUCCCUUCCUUCACCUUACGUGAACCAAUUGCAGUCUUCAGAUUUGCUUAGCACUGCCCAGGGGCAGGGCAGUCAAGUCUGGGGUUGUCACCUCUGACGGUGUAAACUCUUAUCAAAGGA
Monodelphis domestica (gray short-tailed opossum) is the source of this 659-nucleotide long non-coding RNA. RefSeq lists it as uncharacterized. Lineage: Eukaryota; Metazoa; Chordata; Mammalia; Didelphimorphia; Didelphidae. The record is from RefSeq and is a predicted model, not a curated record.